RNAcentral lists this ribosomal RNA (529 nucleotides) under Salmonella enterica subsp. arizonae. RNAcentral's name for it is "bacterial SSU rRNA". It matches the Rfam family "Bacterial small subunit ribosomal RNA", at positions 993 to 1522 of the family's 1533-position model. The record is from RNAcentral. Lineage: Bacteria; Pseudomonadati; Pseudomonadota; Gammaproteobacteria; Enterobacterales; Enterobacteriaceae.
GAAGUUUUCAGAGAUGAGAAUGUGCCUUCGGGAACCGUGAGACAGGUGCUGCAUGGCUGUCGUCAGCUCGUGUUGUGAAAUGUUGGGUUAAGUCCCGCAACGAGCGCAACCCUUAUCCUUUGUUGCCAGCGGUCCGGCCGGGAACUCAAAGGAGACUGCCAGUGAUAAACUGGAGGAAGGUGGGGAUGACGUCAAGUCAUCAUGGCCCUUACGACCAGGGCUACACACGUGCUACAAUGGCGCAUACAAAGAGAAGCGACCUCGCGAGAGCAAGCGGACCUCAUAAAGUGCGUCGUAGUCCGGACUGGAGUCUGCAACUCGACUCCAUGAAGUCGGAAUCGCUAGUAAUCGUGGAUCAGAAUGCCACGGUGAAUACGUUCCCGGGCCUUGUACACACCGCCCGUCACACCAUGGGAGUGGGUUGCAAAAGAAGUAGGUAGCUUAACCUUCGGGAGGGCGCUUACCACUUUGUGAUUCAUGACUGGGGUGAAGUCGUAACAAGGUAACCGUAGGGGAACCUGCGGUUGGA